RNAcentral lists this transfer RNA (72 nucleotides) under Camelus bactrianus (Bactrian camel). It matches the Rfam family "tRNA". Rfam says of the family: Transfer RNA (tRNA) molecules are approximately 80 nucleotides in length. Their secondary structure includes four short double-helical elements and three loops (D, anti-codon, and T loops). RNAcentral also lists the same sequence under 2 other names. The record is from Rfam by way of RNAcentral. Lineage: Eukaryota; Metazoa; Chordata; Mammalia; Artiodactyla; Camelidae.
UGGGGUAUAGCUCAGUGGUAGAGCAGGUGCUAAGCAUGUAGGAGGUCCUGGGUUCAAUCCCCAGUACCUCCA